This 456-nucleotide ribosomal RNA is filed under the name uncultured Desulfobacterium sp. RNAcentral describes it as "bacterial SSU rRNA". It matches the Rfam family "Bacterial small subunit ribosomal RNA", at positions 925 to 1382 of the family's 1533-position model. The record is from RNAcentral. Lineage: Bacteria; Pseudomonadati; Thermodesulfobacteriota; Desulfobacteria; Desulfobacterales; Desulfobacteriaceae.
ACAAGCGGUGGAGCAUGUGGUUUAAUUCGACGCAACGCGAAGAACCUUUACUGGGCUUGACAUCUGCGGAAUUUCUAUGAAAGUAGGAAGUGCCUUCGGGGAGCCGCAAGACAGGUGCUGCAUGGCUGUCGUCAGCUCGUGUCGUGAGAUGUUGGGUUAAGUCCCGCAACGAGCGCAACCCUUAUCUUUAGUUACCAUCAUUCAGUUGGGGACUCUAAAGAUACUGCCCCGGUCAACGGGGAGAAGGUGGGGAUGACGUCAAGUCCUCAUGGCCCUUAUGUCCAGGGCUACACACGUGCUACAAUGGCCGGUACAGACGGACGCAAAGCCGCGAGGUGGAGCAAAUCCUAAAAAGCCGGUCUCAGUUCGGAUUGCAGGCUGCAAUUCGCCUGCAUGAAGUCGGAAUCGCUAGUAAUCGCAGGUCAGCAUACUGCGGUGAAUACGUUCCCGGGCCUU